GAUAGGGAAAUUCUUGAUUAUUCAACGUCGAAUCGAAUCAUGUCCAAUGGCCAUUGGAAUUUUAUCUAUCCUUCUAUUUUUCAAGAUAAUUCAGAUUUGCUGGCGUGCCGUAAGGUGUUGGGUUAAGUCUCGCAACGAGUGCAACACUCGUGUUUAGUUGCCACUAUGAGUUUGGAACCCUGAACAGACCGCCGGUGUUAAGCUGGAGGAAGGAGAGGAUGAGGCCAAGUCAUCAUGCCCUGGGCGACACACGUGCUACAAUGGGCGGGACAAAGGGUCGCGAUCUCGCGAGGGUGAGCUAACUCCAAAAACCCGUCCUCAGUUCGGAUUGCAGGCUGCAACUCGCCUGCAUGAAGCAGGAAUCGCUAGUAAUCGCCGGUCAGCCAUACGGCGGU
Molecule: non-coding RNA, 395 nt
Filed under: Triticum aestivum (bread wheat)
Lineage: Eukaryota; Viridiplantae; Streptophyta; Magnoliopsida; Poales; Poaceae
Description: Bacterial small subunit ribosomal RNA
Rfam family: Bacterial small subunit ribosomal RNA
Source: Rfam by way of RNAcentral